This 465-nucleotide ribosomal RNA is filed under the name Vreelandella stevensii. RNAcentral describes it as "partial 16S ribosomal RNA". It matches the Rfam family "Bacterial small subunit ribosomal RNA", at positions 338 to 795 of the family's 1533-position model. Lineage: Bacteria; Pseudomonadati; Pseudomonadota; Gammaproteobacteria; Oceanospirillales; Halomonadaceae. The record is from RNAcentral.
CCUACGGGUGGCAGCAGUGGGGAAUAUUGGACAAUGGGCGAAAGCCUGAUCCAGCCAUGCAGCGUGUGUGAAGAAGGCCUUCGGGUUGUAAAGCACUUUCAGUGGGGAAGAAAGCCUUGGGGCUAAUACCCUCGAGGAAGGACAUCACCCACAGAAGAAGCACCGGCUAACUCCGUGCCAGCAGCCGCGGUAAUACGGAGGGUGCGAGCGUUAAUCGGAAUUACUGGGCGUAAAGCGCGCGUAGGCGGUCUGAUAAGCCGGUUGUGAAAGCCCCGGGCUCAACCUGGGAACGGCAUCCGGAACUGUCAGGCUAGAGUGCAGGAGAGGAAGGUAGAAUUCCCGGUGUAGCGGUGAAAUGCGUAGAGAUCGGGAGGAAUACCAGUGGCGAAGGCGGCCUUCUGGACUGACACUGACGCUGAGGUGCGAAAGCGUGGGUAGCAAACAGGAUUAGAUACCCUAGUAGUC